This 410-nucleotide ribosomal RNA is filed under the name Microhyla heymonsi (Taiwan rice frog). RNAcentral's name for it is "partial 16S ribosomal RNA". It matches the Rfam family "Bacterial large subunit ribosomal RNA", at positions 1835 to 2459 of the family's 2925-position model. Lineage: Eukaryota; Metazoa; Chordata; Amphibia; Anura; Microhylidae. The record is from RNAcentral.
CCUGGUUUUUAUAGGAGGUCUAGCCUGCCCAGUGACUAAGUUAAACGGCCGCGGUACCCUAACCGUGCAAAGGUAGCGCAAUCACUUGUUCUUUAAAUGAGGACUAGUAUGAACGGCAUCACGAGGGUUAUGCUGUCUCCCUACUUUAUUCAGUGAAACUGAUCUCCCCGUGAAGAAGCGGGGAUAAAAAUAUAAGACGAGAAGACCCCAUGGAGCUUUAAACUCAGUAUCAUCUGCUAUUAUUAAAACCUAAUACCCAAGCAAUUUCUGACUACUAGUUUUCGGUUGGGGUGACCACGGAGUAAAACAUAACCUCCACGAUGAAAGGAAUUAGCAACCUAAAUUAAGAGCUACAACUCUAAAUAUCAAUAAAUUGACUAAAUUGAUCCAAUUAAUUGAUCAACGAACCA